UAGGGAAUCUUCCGCAAUGGACGCAAGUCUGACGGAGCAACGCCGCGUGAGUGAAGAAGGAUUUCAGUUCGUAAAACUCUGUUGUUAGAGAAGAACAGCGCAUAGAGUAACUGUUAUGCGUGUGACGGUAUCUAACCAGAAAGCCACGGCUAACUACGUGCCAGCAGCCGCGGUAAUACGUAGGUGGCAAGCGUUGUCCGGAUUUAUUGGGCGUAAAGCGAGCGCAGGCGGUCAAUUAAGUCUGAUGUGAAAGCCCCCGGCUCAACCGGGGAGGGUCAUUAGAAACUGGUUGACUUGAGUGCAGAAGAGGAGAGUGGAAUUCCAUGUGUAGCGGUGAAAUGCGUAGAUAUAUGGAGGAACACCAGUGGCGAAGGCGACUCUCUGGUCUGUAACUGACGCUGAGGCUCGAAAGCGUGGGUAGCAAACAGG
Molecule: ribosomal RNA, 429 nt
Filed under: Bacteroidota bacterium
Lineage: Bacteria; Pseudomonadati; Bacteroidota
Description: Bacteroidetes bacterium partial 16S ribosomal RNA
Rfam family: Bacterial small subunit ribosomal RNA
Source: RNAcentral